AAAUUUCUUCGGGGCAGGGUGCGAUUCCCUACCGGCGGUGAUAGUCCGCGACUCCUUUUAAAAAAAAGGACUGAUCUGGUGAAAUUCCAGAACCGACAGUAAAGUCUGGAUGAGAGAGGAGAACC
RNAcentral lists this non-coding RNA (125 nucleotides) under Spirochaetota bacterium. RNAcentral's name for it is "Spirochaetes bacterium FMN sequence". It matches the Rfam family "FMN riboswitch aptamer (RFN element)". From Rfam's summary of the family: The RFN element is a highly conserved domain that is found frequently in the 5'-untranslated regions of prokaryotic mRNAs that encode for flavin mononucleotide (FMN) biosynthesis and transport proteins. This element is a metabolite-dependent riboswitch that directly binds FMN in the absence of proteins. In Bacillus subtilis, the riboswitch most likely controls gene expression by causing premature transcription termination within the 5' untranslated region of the ribDEAHT operon and precluding access to the ribosome-binding site of ypaA mRNA. The record is from RNAcentral. Lineage: Bacteria; Pseudomonadati; Spirochaetota.